Molecule: ribosomal RNA, 492 nt
Filed under: uncultured bacterium
Lineage: Bacteria
Description: partial 16S ribosomal RNA
Rfam family: Bacterial small subunit ribosomal RNA
Source: RNAcentral
AGUGAACGCUGGCGGUAGGCCUAACACAUGCAAGUCGAACGGCAGCACAGUAAGAGCUUGCUCUUACGGGUGGCGAGUGGCGGACGGGUGAGGAAUACAUCGGAAUCUACUUUUUCGUGGGGGAUAACGUAGGGAAACUUACGCUAAUACCGCAUACGACCUACGGGUGAAAGCAGGGGAUCUUCGGACCUUGCGCGAUUGAAUGAGCCGAUGUCGGAUUAGCUAGUUGGCGGGGUAAAGGCCCACCAAGGCGACGAUCCGUAGCUGGUCUGAGAGGAUGAUCAGCCACACUGGAACUGAGACACGGUCCAGAUUCCUACGGGAGGCAGCAGUGUGGAAUAUUGGACAAUGGGCGCAAGCCUGAUCCAGCCAUACCGCGUGGGUGAAGAAGGCCUUCGGGUUGUAAAGCCCUUUUGUUGGGAAAGAAAAGCAGCAGGUUAAUACCCCGCUGUUCUGACGGUACCCAAAGAAUAAGCACCGGCUAACUUCGUG